Molecule: microRNA precursor, 62 nt
Filed under: Caenorhabditis briggsae
Lineage: Eukaryota; Metazoa; Nematoda; Chromadorea; Rhabditida; Rhabditidae
Description: Cbr-Mir-36-o10_pre stem-loop
Source: RNAcentral
CUGCUGGUAUUCUCUGCGAUGAUAUUUUGAAAAAAGCUUAUCACCGGGUGAAAACUGGUAGA